Molecule: ribosomal RNA, 497 nt
Filed under: uncultured bacterium
Lineage: Bacteria
Description: partial 16S ribosomal RNA
Rfam family: Bacterial small subunit ribosomal RNA
Source: RNAcentral
GAUGAACGCUGGCGGCGUGCCUAAUACAUGCAAGUCGAGCGAACAGACGAGGAGCUUGCUCCUUCGACGUUAGCGGCGGACGUGUGAGUAACACGUAGGUAACCUACCUAUAAGACUGGGAUAACUUCGGGAAACCGGAGCUAAUACCGGAUAAUAUUUCGAACCGCAUGGUUCGAUAGUGAAAGACGGCUUUGCUAUCACUUAUAGAUGGACCUGCGCCGUAUUAGCUAGUUGGUAAGGUAACGGCUUACCAAGGCAACGAUACGUAGCCGACCUGAGAGGGUGAUCGGCCACACUGGAACUGAGACACGGUCCAGACUCCUACGGGAGGCAGCAGUAGGGAAUCUUCCGCAAUGGGCGAAAGCCUGACGGAGCAACGCCGCGUGAGUGAUGAAGGCCUUCGGAUCGUAAAACUCUGUUAUUAGGGAAGAACAAACGUGUAAGUAACUGUGCACGUCUUGACGGUACCUAAUCAGAAAGCCACGGCUAACUACGUG